Molecule: ribosomal RNA, 119 nt
Filed under: Pteropus alecto (black flying fox)
Lineage: Eukaryota; Metazoa; Chordata; Mammalia; Chiroptera; Pteropodidae
Source: RNAcentral
UGCAACGGCCAUCCCACUCUGAACAAGCCCAAUCCUGUAUGAUCUCAGAAGCUAAGCAGGGUUGGGCCUGGUUAGUACUUGGAUGGGAGUCCACCUAGGAAUACCAGGUGCUACAGACG